AGUCCCUUGAUAACGAUGGCUGUGAUGGUUGUAAAUUCCACCAUUUGAGUAAUGCACAUUCCUCGGAAGUUUCUUGAAGGAGAGUUGCUGGCCUUUCUAUCAUGACAAUUCUCUUCCUACCAAAUGAAACAUUUUGAUUUCCCCAAAGAUUGAAUCUCUUUAUCUACUAGGUCCUAACAACAAUAAGAUGCUAUGUUUCUGUUUACAAACUAGGAAGUGUCUAUUUUCCGUUCAUCUGUGCAUUCUACAAUUACUAGCAAUGCCAAUUAUGUGCCAAGCAAUGUGCUAGGUACUGUGAGUGCAGCGAAGGACACAGGCAUGGCCUUUGCCCUCAGGUUGCCUGUAGUGUAGACUAGCUUUGAAUUUGAGGCAAGUAAAAUUUCUGCUAAUGGAUUUUGGGAUGAGAAUGAGAAUGAAGGGAAAAAGUAGUAAAUGGAAAAGAGAUAUGUGGGCCUUUUCCCACAGGAGAGGUGAAGAAAAGGGAGUAGAGAAGAAGAGAAAUGCUGGGCUGAUUCAAAAAUAACCUAGAGAUAGAUUUCAUGAGUGCUUAUUAAUAUACUAAUCAUGAGAGCAACAUCUUCCAUCUCAUAUUCCGCUGGAAAAAAGUACACUGUGACAUAAAUAACCCAAAUCAAGGCCGUCUUGGCUACAGAGCAACUACCACCAACAGCAGCCGAUGAACUAGAUGAUAUGAUUAUGAGCUUUCCAACAUGUCGAUGGAGCUCACUACCUCAUCAAAGGUCAAUCAACAAACAUAUAAAAUUGCAAAUGCAAUUUGAUUCAAUUGAUAGAUCCACAUGAGACCCAACACGCUUUACCAACCUGAAAACUGCCAAGUUUUCGUCUAUCCUAAAAGCAAAUUCAGAUUCUCUACGAGCUGUACUUUUCCCCUGUGUCCGGAACAAGUUUGGCGUGUUCAAAGAAGACUAGGAAGUCCAAGCUGCUAAAUCAGGGUGAAGGAGAGGGAGAGUUAUACGGAUGAGGUCAGAGAAGUGGGCCGGGUCAUUAGGGCCUUGUAAACAUGGUUAAAGACUGAGUUUGUAUUCUUAAGUGCAAUGCAAAACCAUUGUAGGCCUUGACGCUGAUGAAUGACAUAACCUGAUUUACCAAUUAAAGAAGAUUAUUCUUGAUUCUGUGCAAGGAAUGAAUUGUGUAAGGGCAAGAAUCAAAGCAGAGACCUGUUAGAAGAUUACUGCAAAAGACUGGAGGAGAGAUUAUGCGGUCCUGGACUUGAGUGGUAACAAUGGAGGUGGUGAGACUUCACCAGAUCCUGGAUAUAUGGUGGUGAGACAGCUGACAGGACUUGCUGAUGGAUUGACGACGAGGAAAAGAAGAGAGUCCAGGAUGAAUGGCAGCAAACGACUGAGCCCUGAUGUGGCCUGGCCAGCAAAGUAGGAGAAGCCAAAAAGAGAUGUGAUCUGGAAGCUAAAUGAAGAAAUCUUUAAGGAAGUAAAGAUCAUCAAAUGAAAUUCUAUUAAGAGACCAUGCAAGGGAAACCAAGUACAAAAUGUGCGCCAGGAAAAUAUGUCCAAGCAUAAUUUCAGAUGCAUGCUAGAAUCCCAAAGUUUCCUGAAGUUCCUUCAGACUAGCUCUAGAAGAAAUUCGCCUGGUCACAGAUACAAGAUUUCUCUGCAGAAGAGAUUCAGGAAUGGUAAUGUGUUUGCAAGGAAGAGCUGGGGGGUAAAUUGUCUCGAAACUUCUGCCAAAAACUAUGCUUAUUUGGGGUCACCUGCCAAAUCUGCCCGUGAAUUCACAUCGGCUGGGAAGCCUGCCUUUUAGAGGGCCUUCAAGAAGUGCCUUAUUGUGAUAAAAAUCUGAAAACUAUAGUGGACUUUAUAUGCGAGUAAAUCUAGACUUUGCUCCUGAGGCUUGUGAACUAAACUGGGUUCUGACAAUGUAAGGAACAAUCUGGUUACCUCCUUUCACUCUUACAUGUUGUUUCUUCUGCUCUUUGUAAAUCCCUUAGAUUCCUACUCCAAUGGCUAGGAGGAAUCAAACUGUGGAACUAGCCUGUAGCUCCGAACCUGAAGCAACCCCAAACUCUGUUAUCUUUCCUUUCAUUUCCCAUAACCUCCAUUUUCAUGACGACAAAGUCUUUGGUGGUGGUGAUGUAAAGCCACCAAGUAUGAAAUAGUUACACUGCACUAUCUAGUCAAUGUUAUAUUCUUCCUGCUCUCCCACAUAGAUAACUUUAUGUACAACUGUGCUUUCACAACGUGGCAACUGCCAGGGUUCUUUGAGAACCCUAACUUUAUGCCUACUGCCCGUCUUCACUAUUUUCCUACUACAAUUCCAUUGCCUAUCAUUUCAGACAUUCUCUUGCCAAUAUCCCCAACUUCCUUGUCUUCCAUCACAAAUAUAUAAACAGGUAUUUUUUACCUUUUAUUACUUUCUUCCUCCUUGUUUCAAAGGAUGGGUCACUCCUUCUCCCGUUUAUACUUAUCCAUCAACCUAUUCACUAUCCCCUUUCUCCUCAGAAAUUCUAUACAUGUCCCAACUUUUUUUACAUCAUGGAAAACAUAGAAAAAUGACAAUUCACUAGAAUAAACUGGAGGGGAUUGAGGCAUCUAUGCGGGAGAUAUAUAUGUAUAUAUGGUAAAUAUAUACACACACAUCUA
Molecule: long non-coding RNA, 2618 nt
Organism: Felis catus (domestic cat)
Lineage: Eukaryota; Metazoa; Chordata; Mammalia; Carnivora; Felidae
Exons: 3
Source: RefSeq, a predicted model, not a curated record